RNAcentral lists this ribosomal RNA (255 nucleotides) under uncultured bacterium. Its description in RNAcentral is "partial 16S ribosomal RNA". It matches the Rfam family "Bacterial small subunit ribosomal RNA", at positions 524 to 776 of the family's 1533-position model. The record is from RNAcentral.
GACGUAGGGCGCGAGCGUUGUCCGGAUUUAUUGGGCGUAAAGAGCUCGUAGGCGGCUUGUCGCGUCGAAUGUGAAAAACCCACGGCUCAACUGUGGGCUUGCAUUCGAUACGGGCAGGCUAGAGUUCGGUAGGGGAGACUGGAAUUCCUGGUGUAGCGGUGAAAUGACGCAGAUAUCAGGAGGAACACCGGUGGCGAAGGCGGGUCUCUGGGCCGAUACUGACGCUGAGGUGCGAAAGCGUGGGGAGCGAACAGG